Molecule: long non-coding RNA, 1898 nt
Organism: Oncorhynchus tshawytscha (Chinook salmon)
Lineage: Eukaryota; Metazoa; Chordata; Actinopteri; Salmoniformes; Salmonidae
Source: Ensembl
CAAACUGUAGUCUGUUAACAAGAAAAUUGUGGAGUGGUUGAAAAAUGAGUUUUAAUGACUCCAACCUAAGUGUAUUUAAACUUCCAACAUCAACUGUAUAUCAUACAAACACCACAAACACCCUCUGUUCAUUCUUCCUUCCUGUGAUAUUCUGCGCUGUUUCCUCAUUCUGUGAAUCAGGAACAAAACAGCUUUGUAAUCUAAGUUCAAUGAUCAUGGAUAUGCUAUCUGUCUUCAUGGUGAUGACUCUCGUAGGAAAAUGUCAAGGGAACACUUAUCUAAAUUAUCAAGAGAAAGAGGAAGCUAUAUCCCUACAAUGUGAAGAGAGAAUUUGGCAACUUGAUCUAGAUGAAGACAACAUAGUGGAUUGCACUUUUAAUUGCAGUCUUCAUGACAAUGAGAAGAAAUGUGGCCAAGAUCCGAAGUGCAAUAAUACAGCAUUUACAUUGAAAAAAACCCUGCAAAAACAGUAUCAAACAAUGUUUAAAUAUGAAAUUGGAGAAACACGUCACUGGAUUCUUUGCAUGUUUUCAUACCUUUCCAUCAAAUGACCAACACUUAUUCCCCUUUAAACCUUCAAAAGAUCAGGUGGAAUCAUUUAUUGUGGCAUUUGUUGAACCAAAGAUGGUGAUAUGCUACCCUGGUGUGGAAACUAAAACAUCUGUUACCAAACAGCAUGGAGAAUCAGUCAACCUUGCAUGUAAUUUCACAGUAGCCAAAGGUUACUCUAGCUUUCCAUUUUCAGUGUAUUGGAUCAAAACCAUCAGUGGCAACAGUAGCACAUGUCUUUAUUCUAAUUCUUAUGAUAGUGAUGCACAAUUAUAUGACCACCAUUGUCUCAUUGAUGAGGCCCUGCUGAAACGAAGGUCAAACACUUCAUCUAAACCCCUAACAAGCCCUAUCUUUCAUAACCUUAAGAUCAGCAAUGCCACAUAUUCAGACAGCGGACAGUAUGUUUGUGCCUUACAGGUGCUUAAGAAUAGAAAAGGGCACUGGAAGGUAAUAACUAAUGUCACAGUCACUGUGAAUGGAGAAUUCAACAACCACCCCAACAGGAAUGACACAGCCCUGUUAUAUACUCCUGGGGAUCCUUACAUACCACUGUAUGUAGCGGGAGCCUUGUUCUUCUCCUGCCUGUUUGUUACUGCCAUUGUCAUUGUCAUGAUGAAAAAUACCAAGAUUUCGCAAGCAGAAUCUCACACUCUGAGAAUGAAAAGAGAACAAGAUGGAGAGGAGACAAUUAACUCAGACUGCUCCCCAUAUGCUGAGGGCAGAGGAGAGGAUGAGGGGCUCUUCUCACUUCUGAAGCUGACUGAAGUGAGAGAUCCUGUGACUGCACAGAAUGGAGCUGAAGAACAUGCUGCUGUUGCUGUCGAGCCCAAUUCUGUAGUCAUGCUCAAUACUGAGUAUGAGGCCUUUGACCUCCAGGCCACUCAGACAUCAUCAACCUACCCCCUCAGGAUUGGAGCGAAAGUAUGAGUUACUAGCAGCCAAUAGUUACUCAUAUGAUGUAGAAAAGUGAGCUAAAGAUAAUGUUUUCAUGAUUGGUCUUUCAUAUUCGAUUUAGACCAGGAUUGGCGCGGGGCAGCCAGGGGUUUGUUUGGCCGGUGGGAGGGGUUGAGUGUUGGUUAAAAAAACAUUUCUGAUUCUUAUUGAUUGUACAGGUUGUGACUCAAUAAAAAACUUAGCCCACAAAAAUGAAGUUACAUUAAAGAGAGAACGAGGAUUUACUUUAUUUUUGAAUUGAAUGUUUUUGUGUUCAUUCAAGCUCUACUGAACAUUUCCACUAGAUGGUGCUAGUGCUCAGUCCUACAUUUGUGCUUACUGUUUCUCGGAUAUUGUGUCAUGUGUGAUUACCUAAUUAUUGUGUAACAUUGAAUAAACAUUGCAGAAAUAAA